UGUAGCUCAGUGGCAAAGCAUUUGCCUAACAUGCACAAGGCCCUGGGUUUAAUUCCCAGUA
This 61-nucleotide transfer RNA is filed under the name Fukomys damarensis (Damara mole-rat). It matches the Rfam family "tRNA", at positions 6 to 65 of the family's 71-position model. Rfam says of the family: Transfer RNA (tRNA) molecules are approximately 80 nucleotides in length. Their secondary structure includes four short double-helical elements and three loops (D, anti-codon, and T loops). Lineage: Eukaryota; Metazoa; Chordata; Mammalia; Rodentia; Bathyergidae. The record is from Rfam by way of RNAcentral.